RNAcentral lists this ribosomal RNA (121 nucleotides) under Ipomoea nil (Japanese morning glory). Lineage: Eukaryota; Viridiplantae; Streptophyta; Magnoliopsida; Solanales; Convolvulaceae. The record is from RNAcentral.
GGAUGCGAUCAUACCAGCACUAAUGCACCGGAUCCCAUCAGAACUCCGACACCUUUCGGGUGGAAGUUAAAGAGUAGUACUAGGAUGGGUGACCCCCUGGGAAGUCCUCGUGUUGCAUCCC